GUUUCUUCAUUUUAUUGUCAUUUCUUUCUCAGUAUAUGUUACUCGGUUUUGACCAUUACUUUUUCAGGAUUAUGUCUGUCUUAUUAUACAUACUGUCAGGAAAAGCUUCCACUUUGAGUGUUAUUUACUGAAAUUCUGUAUUUCUGCUGGUUUGCGAUUGAUCUUCUUCUAUAUCUUUUUGGAUUGAUUUUUUUGUUUUUAGAUUGCUUUAAUUAUAGUUUUACAUUAUUUCCAUUUCUUUAGUUUCUGGUGAACUGAUACGCUGUUUUGGUUAAAAUUUUGUAUACUUGCCAUUUCUAUAAUUUGAAUGUGAAUUUUUAAGAAUCCUAUUUGGAAACAAUUUCUAUAAGCAUGAGGGGCUUGUAAGUGGUGCUCUAUGAAUUUGGGAUUAGAAAUUCUAAUCAGAACUUGUUUGAUUUUGAAAGUUUUGGGAAACAAACUUGUUUCUCAUUAUUGAUGAAAGCUGAUUUGAUGAUCUGGAUUCAUGUGCAGUUUCACCAGAGAUUAGGCUUCAUUAAAGACGAUUGGGUAUCUGAAUUAUGGGAAGCAAACUGUCAAGGCAUCAAGGUCACUACCAACAUGAUUCAUACAAUCAUGGGGCUCCAUCACUCCCAAGCUCUUCGCCAUACUCGUUUCAUUCUUCAAGAUAUGUAGAGUAUGAUGAAAGAAGCAAGCUGCAACCAAGGCAUUCAUACAACUAUGGGGAUCCAUCACUUCCAAGCUCUUCGCCGUACACGCCUCAUUCUUCAAGGUAUAUUGAUUAUGAUGGAAGAAGCAAACUGCAGUCAAGGUACUCAAGAAUUGGUGACGACUACUACUCUCUAGAACAGGUGACACAAGCUCUUGCACAAGCUGGUUUGGAAUCUUCCAAUCUUAUUGUGGGCAUUGAUUUCACAAAAAGCAAU
Molecule: unclassified non-coding RNA, 905 nt
Filed under: Hevea brasiliensis (rubber tree)
Lineage: Eukaryota; Viridiplantae; Streptophyta; Magnoliopsida; Malpighiales; Euphorbiaceae
Source: RNAcentral